CUCAGGACGAACGCUGGCGGCAUGCUUCAUACAUGCAAGUCGAACGAUAAGGUCUCUUCGGAGAUACAUAAGUGGCGGACGGGUGAGUAAUAUGUAGGAAAUCUGCCCUAGAGAGGGGGACAACAGAGGGAAACUUCUGCUAAUACCCCAUAUGAGCGUACCUGAAAUGGUAUUCUUGAAAACUCCGGUGCUCUAGGAUGAGCCUGCAUCUGAUUAGCUAGUUGGCGGUGUAAUGGACCACCAAGGCGACGAUCAGUAGCUGGUUUGAGAGGAUGAUCAGCCACAAUGGGACUGAGACACGGCCCAUACUCCUACGGGAGGCAGCAGUAGGGAAUUUUGCGCAAUGGGCGAAAAGCCUGACGCAGCAAUGCCGCGUGAACGUAGAAGCCCUUCGGGGUGUAAAGUUCUGUCAGUGGGGACGAAUUUUGACGGUACCCACAGAGGAAGCACCGGCUAACUCCGUGCCAGCCGCCGC
This 475-nucleotide ribosomal RNA is filed under the name uncultured bacterium. RNAcentral's name for it is "bacterial SSU rRNA". It matches the Rfam family "Bacterial small subunit ribosomal RNA", at positions 23 to 518 of the family's 1533-position model. The record is from RNAcentral.